Molecule: transfer RNA, 73 nt
Filed under: Verrucosispora sp. WMMC514
Lineage: Bacteria; Bacillati; Actinomycetota; Actinomycetes; Micromonosporales; Micromonosporaceae
Description: tRNA-Arg
Rfam family: tRNA
About the family: Transfer RNA (tRNA) molecules are approximately 80 nucleotides in length. Their secondary structure includes four short double-helical elements and three loops (D, anti-codon, and T loops).
Source: RNAcentral
GCCUUCGUAGCUCAGGGGAGAGAGCGGCGGUUUCCGGGACCGCAGGUCGCAGGUUCGAUUCCUGCCGGGGGCG